AUCAUGAUACUUCCGUCCAGCCACAGACAUCUCAAUGGGGGCGGCAGCCGGAGAUCCCGGCUGGGGUGAGAUUCCCAUGA
Clostridiales bacterium oral taxon 876 is the source of this 80-nucleotide regulatory RNA element. It matches the Rfam family "pemK RNA". Lineage: Bacteria; Bacillati; Bacillota; Clostridia; Eubacteriales. The record is from Rfam.